AUUAGUUGUAUUAGGUUCACCUGUUCCCUCUGCCUUCCUGCCUCCUUGCCUCACCUGUCCUUAGUUCCUUUGAUUACCUGCCUUUUCUCUCUGCAUAUUAGUUGGUUUGUUUCAUUAUGUUUUGUGGGUUCCUUGUGUUACAACUCGCUCAUACUCGCUACCCUCGUCCAUGCCAUGAUCCUGCAGUGUUCAGCCUUGUAAGUUUUGGAUUCCACUCUGACCUGGAAGAGAUUAUCCAGACUGCACAGAAACGUAAACCCGGUGAGGUGAAGACUCCAGCAACACUUGAAAUACAGAUGAGCCAACCCCGGUGAUUUUAUUUAUUAAUAAAGGAGGUGUUCCAGGCACGUCCCACCGUGAGGAGGGAUGUCUGGGCGUCUCUGCUGAGUCUGCUGCCCCUGCGACCCGGUCCUGGAUAAAGCAGAAGACGACGAGUACUAUUAUAGUUGUUAGCCUGGUCCAUGAGUACAACAACUGUUACAAUUAGAGAAAAUGUAUCAUGCUAACCUACCCGGAUAUUAAUGCAGACGUGUGACAAAUAAAAGGUAGAAUCAAAGAGUGUUUCAGUAACUGUUUGGCCUCCACUUGCUGAAAGAAAUGCUAUUUAUUAAUAAUCUGUUUUAAGGUGAAGGUGAUUUCUCAGAAAAGCUCUUUGUUGACAUGCAAUGACUUCUUCCAUAAAGAUGCUGUCAGCAAAAUGUUCUCCAACACCAUUCUAACUCCACCAGGCUGUCUCACUGUUUGAUGUGUUAUAAUUCAGUCUUACAAACAAACACAAAUGUGAACAAAAUAUUGAAAUUAACAGUUCUCUCUGUGUUUUUAUUGUUAGCUUUUUGUCUUGUUUUCAAAGUGUGAACUUGACACAUUACACCAAGUAAAAUUAGUCGUGUCUGCCGUGUGAGUCAUCAGCUUAUCCACUUUCCAUAUGGCUUUAUUUUUCUUUUUUUAUUUAUUUCAUUUCUACUGGAACCACUCACCAAGUUUUUUGCUACACAUUCUAAGGUUUGAGUUGGAAAUGCAGCUCAUAUUAUACUAUUUUAGAUGUGUUAGUAAAAGGUUUCAUGGUUUUAAAUUGUAUUUCCCACAUUUUGCCAUUCUACAGCCACAGACUUCAAUGUGUUUUAUCAGUUUUCUGUGAUUUGAGGCUUCUGAAGGCUGUUGGGUGCACUUUUUAUUUCAGGGUAUUAGAAUAAAAAGAACUGAAUACAAACCACACUUAGACUUUUAUUUAGGGUUGUAACAUAAAAAAGGUUUGUUUACCUUUGCAUGAAAUUGAUAGGCAAACCUUUGAAUUCUCCCUCUACCUAGUGAAUAUUUUUGAAUUUGUAAUCUAUUAAAAUGAGAGCAAACAGAUUUGAAACCACCUGUCAGUGCUUGCAUGCGUUUGGAACUUGCAACCUGUGGCUCGGGAGCCAUGUCUGGCUCUUUAGGGUCUCCACAGUGGCUCAAAAUAUGUUCGACCAAUUAUAAUAUAAAACUGAGCAGUAUUUUUGAUGUAUCAAAGUAAGAACAAAACUGGGAAUCAUUUUCUGUUAAGCUUUUUGUAUUUUUUGUUUAUUUUCCAUUAGUAUCUAGCAACCCAUUCUAGAAAAUGUUUCAAUUAUUUAAAAGUGUUUUAUAACCUUGAUAAAUACUGUUAAUUAAAAAUAAAUUUUACAUUUUAAUCAAUUUA
Molecule: long non-coding RNA, 1672 nt
Organism: Girardinichthys multiradiatus
Lineage: Eukaryota; Metazoa; Chordata; Actinopteri; Cyprinodontiformes; Goodeidae
Exons: 3
Source: RefSeq, a predicted model, not a curated record